UAGGGAAUAUUGGACAAUGGGGGCAACCCUGAUCCAGCCAUGCCGCGUGAGUGAAGAAGGCCCUCGGGUUGUAAAGCUCUUUUGUCCGGAAAGAAAAGCUUCGGGUUAAUACCCCGGGGUUCUGACGGUACCGGAAGAAUAAGCACCGGCUAACUUCGUGCCAGCAGCCGCGGUAAUACGAAGGGUGCAAGCGUUACUCGGAAUUACUGGGCGUAAAGCGGGCGUAGGUGGUUGUUUAAGUCUGAUGUGAAAGCCCUGGGCUCAACCUGGGAAUGGCAUUGGAAACUGGGCAGCUUGAGUGCGGUAGAGGGUAGUGGAAUGCCCGGUGUAGCAGUGAAAUGCGUAGAGAUCGGGAGGAACAUCUGUGGCGAAGGCGACUGCCUGGACCAGCACUGACACUGAGGCACGAAAGCGUGGGGAGCAAACA
RNAcentral lists this ribosomal RNA (427 nucleotides) under uncultured bacterium. Its description in RNAcentral is "bacterial SSU rRNA". It matches the Rfam family "Bacterial small subunit ribosomal RNA", at positions 355 to 774 of the family's 1533-position model. The record is from RNAcentral.